AACCCAUCACCCCUACUGAACUAUUUUAUAAUACUAUAAAAAUAAUUAUGCUAGAACUAGUAACAAGAAGUCGCCCUUCUCCAUAAUGCAAGCAUAAACCAAAACGGACACUCCAUUGGUAAUUAACGUAAAUGUAAAACCAUAACAACACAACCAGAAAACCUUAUGGCCGCCACACGUUACCCUAACACCAGAGCAUUACAGGAAAGAUUAAAAGAUAAAGAAGGAACUCGGCAAAUUUUAACCCCGCCUGUUUACCAAAAACAUCGCCUCUUGACUAAAUAUAAGAGGUCCAGCCUGCCCAGUGAUAAUAUUCAACGGCCGCGGUAUACUGACCGUGCGAAGGUAGCAUAAUCACUUGUUCUUUAAAUGGGGACUCGUAUCAACGGCAUCACGAGGGUUACACUGUCUCCUCUCUCCAAUCAGUGAAACUGAUCCCCCCGUGAAGAAGCGGGGAUUCAAUUAUAAGACGAGAAGACCCCAUGGAGCUUUAAACCCAACAUACACCUCUACAUUCAAACACCAAUUUAACCAAAAAGGCCUGUACGUCGGUUUUAGGCUGGGGGGGCCACGGAGUAAAACUAAACCUCCAUAAUAAAUGGGCUAACACCCUAAUCUAUGACUUAUGAGUCUAAGAAUCACUAAAAUGAUGUUUAAUGACCCGAUAAUUCGAUCAAUAGACCAAGUUACCCUGGGGAUAACAGCGCAAUCCACUUCAAGAGCCCCUAUCGACAAGUGGGUUUACGACCUCGAUGUUGGAUCAGGGUAUCCUAGUGGUGCAGCCGCUAC
RNAcentral lists this ribosomal RNA (789 nucleotides) under Odorrana fengkaiensis. RNAcentral's name for it is "partial 16S ribosomal RNA". It matches the Rfam family "Bacterial large subunit ribosomal RNA", at positions 1539 to 2565 of the family's 2925-position model. The record is from RNAcentral. Lineage: Eukaryota; Metazoa; Chordata; Amphibia; Anura; Ranidae.